RNAcentral lists this ribosomal RNA (374 nucleotides) under uncultured bacterium. Its description in RNAcentral is "bacterial SSU rRNA". It matches the Rfam family "Bacterial small subunit ribosomal RNA", at positions 29 to 416 of the family's 1533-position model. The record is from RNAcentral.
AACGAACGCUGGCGGCAGGCCUAACACAUGCAAGUCGAACGCCGUAGCAAUACGGAGUGGCAGACGGGUGAGUAACGCGUGGGAACAUACCCCUCGGUUCGGAAUAACUCAGGGAAACUUGAGCUAAUACCGGAUACGUCCGAGGUUUUGAUCGACCUUGGAGAAAGAUUUAUCGCCGAAGGAUUGGCCCGCGUCUGAUUAGCUUGUUGGUGAGGUAAUGGCUCACCAAGGCGACGAUCAGUAGCUGGUCUGAGAGGAUGAUCAGCCACAUUGGGACUGAGACACGGCCCAAACUCCUACGGGAGGCAGCAGUGGGGAAUAUUGGACAAUGGGCGAAAGCCUGAUCCAGCCAUGCCGCGUGAGUGAUGAAGGCC